AAUCCGCACUCUAUCAAGAAGGCAAACCUCUGAAAUCGAUGUUAACAGUCUUUUCUACUAGCUAUGCUAAAUAAAAAGAAGGAAUUAAUAUCAGUCCAAGAGAGGGUAAUCCGCAACCCUUAGAACGCUCAAGUAUCUCCAAGGAAAGGGGUAGUCCACUCUCUGCCUCAAAGAACUAAGCUCUGAUAUUGUGAUUGAGAAAAUAUCAGUUUAGAGGAGGGUAAUCCGCAACCUCUAAAAAAUGCUAGUAUACCUUCAAGUAGAGGGGUAAU
Molecule: long non-coding RNA, 272 nt
Filed under: Physcomitrium patens
Lineage: Eukaryota; Viridiplantae; Streptophyta; Bryopsida; Funariales; Funariaceae
Description: long non-coding RNA (PPAT_LNC008453)
Source: RNAcentral